AACGAACGCUGGCGGCAGGCCUAACACAUGCAAGUCGAACGCUGUAGCAAUACAGAGUGGCAGACGGGUGAGUAACGCGUGGGAACCUUCCCAGUGGUGCGGAAUAGCCCAGGGAAACUUGAGGUAAUACCGCAUAAGCCCCUAGGGGAAAGAUUUAUCGCCAUUGGAUGGGCCCGCGUCGGAUUAGCUAGUUGGUGAGGUAAUGGCUCACCAAGGCAACGAUCCGUAGCUGGUGAGAGAAGUGACCAGCCACACUGGGACUGAGACACGGCCCAGACUCCUACGGGAGG
Molecule: ribosomal RNA, 290 nt
Filed under: uncultured bacterium
Lineage: Bacteria
Description: partial 16S ribosomal RNA
Rfam family: Bacterial small subunit ribosomal RNA
Source: RNAcentral